This 565-nucleotide ribosomal RNA is filed under the name uncultured bacterium. RNAcentral's name for it is "partial 16S ribosomal RNA". It matches the Rfam family "Bacterial small subunit ribosomal RNA", at positions 355 to 935 of the family's 1533-position model. The record is from RNAcentral.
UGGGGAAUAUUGCACAAUGGGCGAAAGCCUGAUGCAGCGACGCCGCGUGAGGGAUGACGGCCUUCGGGUUGUAAACCUCUUUCAGCAGGGAAGAAGCGAAAGUGACGGUACCUGCAGAAGAAGCGCCGGCUAACUACGUGCCAGCAGCCGCGGUAAUACGUAGGGCGCAAGCGUUGUCCGGAAUUAUUGGGCGUAAAGAGCUCGUAGGCGGUUAGUCGCGUCUGCUGUGAAAACUCGAGGCUCAACCUCGGGCUUGCAGUGGGUACGGGCUGACUAGAGUGCGGUAGGGGUGACUGGAAUUCCUGGUGUAGCGGUGGAAUGCGCAGAUAUCAGGAGGAACACCGAUGGCGAAGGCAGGUCACUGGGCCGCAACUGACGCUGAGGAGCGAAAGCAUGGGGAGCGAACAGGAUUAGAUACCCUGGUAGUCCAUGCCGUAAACGUUGGGCACUAGGUGUGGGGUCCAUUCCACGGAUUCCGUGCCGCAGCAAACGCAUUAAGUGCCCCGCCUGGGGAGUACGGCCGCAAGGCUAAAACUUAAAGGAAUUGACGGGGUCAUAGCUGUUU